AGCGAACGCUGGCGGCAGGCUUAACACAUGCAAGUCGAGCGGACACUUUCGGGUGUCAGCGGCGGACGGGUGAGUAACGCGUGGGAACGUGCCCUCUGGUUCGGAAUAACUCAGGGAAACUUGAGCUAAUACCGGAUACGCCCUUUUGGGGAAAGGCUUGCUGCCGGAGGAUCGGCCCGCGUCUGAUUAGCUAGUUGGUGAGGUAACGGCUCACCAAGGCGACGAUCAGUAGCUGGUCUGAGAGGAUGAUCAGCCACACUGGGACUGAGACACGGCCCAGACCUCCACGGGAGGCAGGAGGGGGGGAUAUUGGAACAAGGGCGGAAGGCUGAUCCAGCCAUGCCGCGUGAGGGAUGAAGGCCUUAGGGUUGUAAAGCUCUUUUAUCCGGGAAGAUAAUGACGGUACCGGAGGAAUAAGCCCCGGCUAACUUCGUG
Molecule: ribosomal RNA, 435 nt
Filed under: uncultured bacterium
Lineage: Bacteria
Description: partial 16S ribosomal RNA
Rfam family: Bacterial small subunit ribosomal RNA
Source: RNAcentral